This 253-nucleotide ribosomal RNA is filed under the name uncultured bacterium. Its description in RNAcentral is "partial 16S ribosomal RNA". It matches the Rfam family "Bacterial small subunit ribosomal RNA", at positions 524 to 776 of the family's 1533-position model. The record is from RNAcentral.
UACGAGGGGGGCAAAUGUUGUUCGGAAUCACUGGGCGUAAAGGGAGCGUAGGCGGGCUUCUAAGUUAGGUGUUUAAUCCCGGGGCCCAACCCCGGACAGGCACCUAAAACUGGGAGUCUUGAAUAGUGGAGAGGACGGCGGAAUUGGGGGUGUAGCGGUGGAAUGCGUAGAGAUCCCCAAGAACACCAGUUGCGAAGGCGGCCGUCUGGACACAUAUUGACGCUGAGGCUCGAAAGCAUGGGGAGCAAACAGG